AGAUCAAAACCGGCCCGUCGCGGCGCGCUUCGUGCGCGUCCCGAUCGCGGCCCGCGCAAAGACCUGGUGACUCUGAAUAACUUCGAGCUGAUCGCACGGUCUCCGUACCGGCGACGCAUCUUUCAAAUGUCUGCCUUAUCAACUGUCGAUGGUAGGUUCCAUGCCUACCAUGGUGGUAACGGGUAACGGGGAAUCAGGGUUCGAUUCCGGAGAGGGAGCCUGAGAAACGGCUACCACAUCCAAGGAAGGCAGCAGGCGCGCAAAUUACCCACUCCCGGAACGGGGAGGUAGUGACGAAAAAUAACGAUACGGGACUCAUCCGAGGCCCCGUAAUCGGAAUGAGAACACUUUAAAACCUUUAAACGAGGAUCAAUUGGAGGGCAAGUCUGGUGCCAGCAGCCGCGGUAAUUCCAGCUCCAAUAGCGUAUAUUAAAGUUGUUGCGGUUAAAAAGCUCGUAUUCGGAUCUGUGUCUGGACGGUGCCGGACCACCCUGGCGGUCCGUCGUGUCGCGGCCGGCCGUGUCGCGGGACCACGUGUCCCGUCGGCGCGGUCGCCGUCGCGCUCGUCAGCCGUCUCGGGGUGUUAGUUACCGGCACGUCGGCCGGGACGUAUUGUCGGCAGGGCGGACACGUGUCUCGUGCUUCCGGCGCGCCGCGCGGCCACGCGUCGCGCGGCCGUCGGUGUUCGACGACGGCGGCCGCCUACUCCAAUCUUGCUGCGCGGUGCUCUUCACCGAGUGCCGUCGGCGGGCCGACACGUUUACUUUGAACAAAUUAGAGUGCUCAAAGCAGGCUCGAAUCUGGCGGGGCGGCUUCACGGCCGUCUCGUCAAAAGGCCCUGAAUACUGGUCGCAUGGAAUAAUGGAACAAGACCUCGGUCCCGCGCAUCUCCGCCCUUCGCGGGCGCGCGAAAUCGCCCUCCGGGGCGUUUCCGUGCGCGGGCCGCCGGGCCGCGGGCGCCAGUCGCCCGCGCGUCCCGCCGGGCCGGUUUUCGGGACCGGAGGUAAUGAUCAACAGAGACGGGCGGGGGCAUUCGUACCGAGACGUUAGAGGUGAAAUUCUUGGAUCGUCUCGAGACGAACUGACGCGAAAGCAUUUGCCAAGUACGUUCUCGUAUGAUCAAGAACGAAAGUUAGAGGUUCGAAGGCGAUCAGAUACCGCCCUAGUUCUAACUGUAAACGAUGCCAGCUAGCGAUCCGCCGGCGUUUCAUUAACGACCCGGCGGGCAGCUUCCGGGAAACCGAAGCUUUUCGGUCCGGGGGAAGUAUGAUUGCAAAGUUGAACUUAAAGGAAUUGACGGAAAGGCACCACCAGGAGUGGAGCCUGCGGCUUAAUUUGACUCAACACGGGAAACCUCACCAGGCCCGGACACGGAAAGAUUGACAGAUUGAGAGCUCUUUCUUGAU
Molecule: non-coding RNA, 1406 nt
Organism: Acyrthosiphon pisum (pea aphid)
Lineage: Eukaryota; Metazoa; Arthropoda; Insecta; Hemiptera; Aphididae
Source: Rfam